UCAAGUUCCUUUGUUCUGUCCCUUUAUAGUCAUCGCCCUCUGUCAUUACCCCUUGCUCCUGGGAAUCAUUGAAUUGCUGUCCUUCCCUAGAGUUUUGCUUUUUCCAGAAUGGCACAUAAUGGAAUCAUACAAUAAAUGGCUUUUUACACUUGACAUAACAAAGCUGAUAUAAACUUAGGUAUGUUACAUACAGUGCAAUGUACAGGUCUUAAAUAUAUACAGCCAGUGCAUUCUGAUAAAUGCACAUACCUAGGUUACUCAUACUCCUACUGAGAUAUAGAACAUUCUCCUCACCCCAUAAAGUUCCUUCCUGUCCCUUCAGUCAAUCCCUGCUCCUCCCUUACCUCCUCCCCCACAAGUUCAGCUCAGAUUAAAAUAAUCACUGUUCUGAUUAUUUUUCUAUCACAGAUUUUUUGCUUGUUCUUAAAAUUCAUACAAAUAUAAUUGUACAAUAUUUACUUUUGAGUGUGGCUUAUUUUGCUCAGUAUAAUCCUACAAUGAAUUUUAAUUCAUUCAUAAUGAAAGAUGAAAUAAAUAUACAAUGUUUCCUAUAUACCAGAAAGUCUCAUGGGUGCUUUACAUAUAUUAACUAGUCUAAUCCUUAAUAUAUGUUUACAGAGGCACUCUUUUUUGUUCCCAUUUUACAGAAGAAGAAACUUUAGUAUGAAAAGUCUGUCACUUGCCUGAAGCAACUAUAUCUAAAGGAGAGAACCAAAAUUGAGCAGACGAAGACAGAACUGUGAUAAGUUAAAAAUGAGGACUACCCUUGAUCCCAUGGGGAGUUCUGGACCUGGGGUGGCCCUUCAUGGGUGUCUCAAAUUGAGGCAAAUUAAUUGCACGUUUGUACUCCUCAAAUAAACCAGUCACUGUAAGUGAACUAGCCCCUCAAGAGUUGCCAUCACCUUAGGUGUGGCAUUUUUCUUUGGUCCAAGGAAAUUCCUAGUGAAUUGGCUGCACAAGCCAUUAGCAGCCAACACUUCCAGCAGUUGAACUUAGUUCUAAAAGAAGUCUCCAUUAGGGUCCACCAAUUAUGCCACUCAGAUAUACUUGCUUCUAAAAGUAAAUGCACAUAGGAUUUUGGUGGCUCUUGUUGCCUGGAGAAAUGUACAAGAUCAGUGGGACAAAUUAGCUGUCCACAGCAAUUUUCAGUGUUGCUGCUGAUACUUUUAGCAUCACAUUCCUCUACUACUCUCUCCUACAUUUCCUUCACCCUUGACAAGCAUCUCUGUGGUCUAGGUAGCUUACUUGGAGGGAUAAUCCAUAUCCUCAUCACUGAAGAGUCUGAAUACCUGGCCACGACAUCCUUCUCAGAUUAUAGCUGUUACACUUAACAAAAUUGGGAAGAGUAUCAAGAAACAUCCCACUGGAUUAGCUGAAUGCCAAACGUUUUCUUCUUGGCCAUCACUGUUUAACAAGACCCACAUCUGGAUGACAGGCUCAUUACCCACACCAGAAGUUAUGGUGACGUCUCUCUUUGUAUGCUGGUCUCAUAGCAGCCAUAAAGUUCAAUGGGACUCUUACUUUGUCUCCUUUACCCCUCAAGGAACCAAAACUUUAGGUUAUUUUUUGUACUCUCCUCCCAACCCCAUACCCAUGGAGGAAACAAUUUUAGACUACAGCUGGGAGUAUAUCAGUGCUUUGACAGGCCCAGGAUGCUACAGUAGCUAUGGAAUUCCUAGGCAGGGUCAUAAACUUUCCACCCAGGUAACUGACAAGAGUAGAUUCUAAGAAGCAAAAGAGGUGAGCAGUUCUAGUUUCCUUCCCCUUGGUGGAUCCCUUUAACUCUACCUUGCUGCACCUAGGAAGGUUAGUCAGUAUGAACUAUUAUCAAUGGGCUUCUGGCUGGGUUUGGUUAAGGGGAAGUCUAGGCAUGAAACUGAAGUAAGAGACUAAGUCUGGCACUGGCUAUUCCCUGCAGAACCUGGGACUGAAUGCUACCUCUGACCUCCUUGAGAGUCCUCCUGCAAUACAUUUCUCUCCUCUCUUGUCUCUUGAUUUCAGUAAUUGUUCCUUCAAGCUUUAGUGGUGUUAGAACUCUGCCUUUACCAGCUACUGGUCCAACAACCUUUUAGUCUUUCUACAUCACUCCUACAAAACUCUGUAAGUAGCCCCUUUAUGAAAAUUCUACUUGAAUUGUCCUAGUCUGAGUGUGUCAGUUGUUUCCUGCUUAGGCUGUAAAUGAUAUACCAACUCACUAAAAGGAGAAGGAAAGCUCCUAACAAUAACCCAUAAAACACAGAAAGAGAGGGAUCUACCAAGUCUCUGACCACAUCAUCUUCUCACCAUACCCAACUUAUUCUACUCCAUUCACACUGACCUCGGUGGUGUGGGCCUCUGGAUGCCAAAACUACUCUUGCUACACAAAUUCAUGACUCACCGUCCCAACUCAUUAAGGUGUCUAAUAUUAGAGUGCCCCUUAACUAAGAGGCUUUUCAUUCCUAUUCUACAUAAAAUAGCAAGACCUCAAUUCCCUUUAACUAUCUUAUACUGCUUUACUUUUCUACAUUACACUAACAUUAUUUUCUUGAUUUUUUUCUACAAGGAAAAAUCAACAGGAUUAAGUAAUGGCAAAAUCUGAGUUUCAUUCAUUGUUAUAGACACCAGUCUCAAACAGGAGUUGGCAUAGAGAAAAUACUCAAUAAAUAGGCUACUGGUUAAUAGCAUAUACUAUGUGGAUUCAAAUCUGGCCUCUACCACUCACUAGUGAGUGAACUCUGGCAAGUAAUAUAAGUGUACCAUGCCAAUUUUCUCAUCUGCAAAAUGGGGUAAUAAUAGUACACCUUUCUCAAGCUUAUAAUGAAUACUCAAUAAUUUAAUGUCCAUCAGGCAUUUAGAAGAGUGCCUGGUUUGGGGGAAGGGCUAUAUAAGUGUUUGAUCAUUUACUAUUCCACUAAAAUACUUUGCUAUGAAAAAACACAGUCCCUACAUAAGAACAAAUCACAAAGUAAUACCUAACCAUGUACUUAUUUCUAUUACAUAAAAAUACAUAAAGAAAAAAGUAACAGAAUUACCAAAAUGAAUUUUUUAAUCCAUAUCCAUGAUGGAAGACUUUAAUACACAUCUAUCACUAAAAAAGCUUGAAAGAAAAAGAACUUGAAUGUACAUACUAUAUCUGAAAACACAACUGGCUUGAGUUAAUGGGAAUAUAUUCUAUAUCCAAAAAUUAGAGAAUACAUGUUGUUUUUCAAAGAAAACUGGAGCAUUUAUAAAAGCUGACCAACAAAUAAUAUUACAUUCAGCUGGACAUCAACAUAAAAGCAACUCAAAAACAACCUCCUCCCAAAUCACUUGGGUUUCAACUAGUUAGCGAUUACUUCUAAUCAUGUAAGAAGUCUAGGAAUAAGCAGUCCAUAGCUGACAGAGCCAAUCAGAGGCUCCUUGGGAGCCCAAACCAUGGUUAACUUUUGCCACAUUGUGGUUUUUAUCAUGAUCAAAAUAUAGCUCUUCCAAAUCUAGGCCUUGAGUCUACUUUCAAGAAAAAGAAUAGGUAGGAUGAAUAGAACAUGGGUGAGGCAGACAAGCUGCAAAAUGUUCCCCCUAGUGACUCUAACAAUUUCUUAUGGCCAGCACAGUGGGACAAUGCCUCUCUGAGCUUCUGCGAUGCCUCACAGAUUGAGUAUUUCCAAUACUACUCAUCAACAACUUGAAAAAAAUCUUUUUAUUCUUUAAUAAAUAGGGGAGAUUGGACUACGGUCUAAUUUUUACUAUAAUAAACUAAAUCACUCAGGAGAUAUUCAGAAAUGCCUUUAUGAAUAUGCAAUAUACUAAUGUUUUAGAUUAAAUGACAUGUAUUACAUACAAAGCUAUAGAACGUAAUUUAGGGUUUAUUUCAGAGUAUAGCUAGAGACAUGUUUAUACCUAAACAAAAAGACUGAAAAUUAAGACUGAUGCUCCAAUCUAAGAUGAGACACUGAUAAAAGUAAUCCCACACUCAACAUGUAUACUUUUCAUUCCCAGUUUAAAUUAUUCUGUGGCCACUCAGAGAAGAGCUAAGGCAAUUUCAUGUUGAGUACCUUCCUAAUGUUCCCCUCCAAUGUGACUUCUCAAGUCAACAAAACAAGAAUCACCAAGAGAUUUUCCAAAAUUAAUCCACUUCCAGGUUUUGCUGCUCCACGAAUUUCACAUUUUUCCUAAGUUAAGAAGUAUCAUUAAAAGUACUCCCUCAUUCUUUAUACUCACAAAUUUUUCUGCAGUGAGUUUUCAGUUUGAGGAAUGUAAAAAAAUGGAAGCUUUCCAAUACUGAUGACAUUCAAUGGGACUUGUUCUCAAGAAUAAAUCCUCCUAUCUCUUAAAAGUUGAGAGAACACUGAAGGCUUUCCCAUAGUAACUACACUCAAUAUCUCUUCAUCUUCUGCUCAAUAAUAUAAAUGCUUUUGCUAUAAGGUUUUCCACAUUCCUUAGGUAAGUGCUCCUCUGUAGUGUUUUCUCAUGUGUGUUCUAAGUGAAAAGUGAAGACUUUUACUUUCUAAUGAUAUUCACAGGAUUUUCCCUAGUAUGAAUUGUCACAUGACUCCCUAGAUGUAGUCCUCAGAUUUAUUGCCAAUACAUAAUCUUUUCUGCACAUGAGGGUGAAAUUUGAGCUGAAAGCUUAUCACAAAGAUUAGACUCAUGGGGUUUCUCUCACGAGAGAAUUAACACAAGAGUUAUUGAAUGUUCCUUUAUACUGAACAGAUUCAAAGAAUGAGGGUGGUUCUCCUGAAGGUCUUUCCCUCAUUGAUUUCAUAACAAGCUUCUCAGAUGGUUCCCCAAAAUUUCUGUCCCCUGGUACUCAUAUUUUGUGUGGUCUUUUCCCACAUUGUGUCAGGACUGGUCUGUGUCAAAUACGGAAAUGAUAUGUCCUUCUAAGGCUAGGUCACAAAAGACAAUGCAUCUUUAUAUCAAAUGCUCUGGGAGGAAACUGCUUCUACAUCAUAAAGAUACUCAGCCCUGUGGAGAGUCCUACAUGGUAAAAAAAAAAAUGAUGAUUCCUUGCCAGCAACCUGCAAUAACUUGCCAGACAUGUGAGUGACCCAUUUUGGAAGUGGACUGUUCAUCAGUAAAGACACAGAUGACUGUAGCAGCCAUUGACAUCUUGACUAGAACCUCAAGAGAAAUACUGAGUCAGAACUACACAGCUAAGCUGUUCCGAAUUCCUGACCUAUAGAUAAUCAAUGUUUGUUGUUUAAAGCCACUAUGUUUAGAAGGAAAAUGUGUUAUACAGCAAUAGAUAACGCAUACAUCUAGUGUGAGUUAUCACACGUUGUCUGAGAGAUAUGAAAUCAAUGAAUGCGUUUCUAGUUAUUGUAGUCAAAUCCACCUAUUAUGGAUUCUCUUGUGCACAGAAAGGUAAGAGUUAGUGGUGAAAGAUUUUCCACAAUGAUUACAUUCAUAGGGUUUUUCUCCAGUUGUGAGUUCUUACAUGUUUCUUAACAGCUGAGAGAUUAUUAAAAGCUUUCCCACAGUUACUGCAUUCAUAGGGUUUCUCACCAGUAUGAAUUCUCUUGUGCACAGUAAGAGAAAAGCUACUGCUGAAGGAUUUUCCACACUGAUUACACUCAUAAGGUUUUUCUCCAGUAUGAGUUCUCAUAUGCUGGGUCAGAUAGGAGCUCUUCCUAAAGGUUUUCCCACAAUCAUUGCAUUCAUAAGGUUUCUCUCCUGUAUGAAUACUAUUGUGCCCAGUAAGGGAGGACCUGGUGCUGAAGGCUUUGCCACACUGAUUACAUUCAUGAUGAUUCUCCCGUGUAUGAAUUCUCUUGUGGCUUUUGAGGUUACAACUAGUGCGGAAAACAUGAAAGCACUGGUUACAUUCAUAGGGUUUUUCUCCAGUGUGAAUUCUUACAUGCAGUCUAAGGGAUGAAGGAUCGUUGAAGGCUUUCCCACAGUC
Molecule: long non-coding RNA, 5863 nt
Filed under: Sus scrofa (pig)
Lineage: Eukaryota; Metazoa; Chordata; Mammalia; Artiodactyla; Suidae
Description: lncRNA (ENSSSCG00015079121.1)
Source: RNAcentral